Molecule: ribosomal RNA, 421 nt
Filed under: uncultured bacterium
Lineage: Bacteria
Description: bacterial SSU rRNA
Rfam family: Bacterial small subunit ribosomal RNA
Source: RNAcentral
UAGGGAAUAUUGGGCAAUGGGCGAGAGCCUGACCCAGCCAUGCCGCGUGCAGGAUGAAGGCUUUCUGAGUCGUAAACUGCUUUUGCCAGGGAAGAAAAAAGGGGAUGCGUCCUCUACUGACGGUACCUGGUGAAUAAGCACCGGCUAACUCCGUGCCAGCAGCAGCGGUAAUACGGAGGGUGCAAGCGUUGUCCGGAUUUAUUGGGUUUAAAGGGUGCGUAGGCGGUUCUUUAAGUCUGGGGUGAAAGCCCGUUGCUCAACAACGGAACUGCCCUGGAAACUGGAGGACUUGAGUACAGACGAGGGUGGCGGAAUGGAUGCUGUAGCGGUGAAAUGCAUAGAUAGCAUCCAGAACCCCGAUUGCGAAGGCAGCUGCCUAGACUGUAACUGACGCUGAGGCACGAAAGCGUGGGGAGCGAAC